This 63-nucleotide transfer RNA is filed under the name Eurylepta cornuta. RNAcentral describes it as "tRNA-Pro". Lineage: Eukaryota; Metazoa; Platyhelminthes; Polycladida; Euryleptidae. The record is from RNAcentral.
UUAGGGGUAGUUUAUAUAGAAUUAUAGCUUUGGGAGCUAUGGGACGAUUUUUUCGCUCUUAAA